AAGCAUAGCUUAAACU
This 16-nucleotide transfer RNA is filed under the name Sus scrofa (pig). RNAcentral's name for it is "partial tRNA-Val". Lineage: Eukaryota; Metazoa; Chordata; Mammalia; Artiodactyla; Suidae. The record is from RNAcentral.